GACGAACGCUGGCGGCGUGCCUAAUACAUGCAAGUCGAGCGGACAGUUGGGAGCUUGCUCCCAACUGUUAGCGGCGGACGGGUGAGUAACACGUGGGUAACCUGCCUGUAAGACUGGGAUAACUUCGGGAAACCGGAACUAAUACCGGAUAACUCUUCGGACCGCAUGGUCUGAAGAUAAAAGAUGGCCUCGGCUAUCACUUAUAGAUGGACCCGCGGCGCAUUAGCUAGUUGGUGUGGUAAUGGCUCACCAAGGCAACGAUGCGUAGCCGACCUGAGAGGGUGAUCGGCCACACUGGGACUGAGACACGGCCCAGACUCCUACGGGAGGCUG
This 333-nucleotide ribosomal RNA is filed under the name uncultured Bacillota bacterium. RNAcentral's name for it is "bacterial SSU rRNA". It matches the Rfam family "Bacterial small subunit ribosomal RNA", at positions 28 to 351 of the family's 1533-position model. The record is from RNAcentral. Lineage: Bacteria; Bacillati; Bacillota.